This 254-nucleotide ribosomal RNA is filed under the name uncultured bacterium. Its description in RNAcentral is "partial 16S ribosomal RNA". It matches the Rfam family "Bacterial small subunit ribosomal RNA", at positions 524 to 777 of the family's 1533-position model. The record is from RNAcentral.
UACGUAGGGGGCAAGCGUUGUCCGGAUUUAUUGGGCGUAAAGCGCUCGCAGGCGGCUCGAUGCGUCGUGCGUGAAACACCCCGGCUCAACUGGGGAGGGUCGUGCGAUACGGUCGGGCUUGAGGCCAGUGGGGGGAUGCGGAAUUCCGGGUGUAGUGGUGGAAUGCGUAGAGAUCCGGAGGAACACCAGCGGCGAAGGCGGCAUCCUGGACUGGUACUGACGCUCAGGAGCGAAAGCGUGGGGAGCAAACAGGG